This 301-nucleotide ribosomal RNA is filed under the name uncultured bacterium. RNAcentral describes it as "partial 16S ribosomal RNA". It matches the Rfam family "Bacterial small subunit ribosomal RNA", at positions 509 to 807 of the family's 1533-position model. The record is from RNAcentral.
CAGUAGCCGCGGGAAUACGGAGGAUCCGAGCGUUAUCCGGAAUUAUUGGGUUUAAAGGGUGCGUAGGCGGAUAGAUAAGUCAGUGGUGAAAGACGGUGGCUCAACCAUCGCAGUGCCGUUGAUACUGUUUAUCUUGAAUAUGGAUGAGGUAGGCGGAAUGUGGCAAGUAGCGGUGAAAUGCAUAGAUAUGCCACAGAACACCGAUUGCGAAGGCAGCUUACCAAGGCAAAAUUGACGCUGAGGCACGAAAGCGUGGGGAUCGAACAGGAUUAGAUACCCCUGUAGUCCCUGUAUCUUAUAC